AGUGAACGCUGGCGGUAGGCCUAACACAUGCGAGUCGAACGGCAGCACAGUAAGAGCUUGCUCUUACGGGUGGCGAGUGGCGGACGGGUGAGGAAUACAUCGGAAUCUACUUUUUCGUGGGGGAUAACGUAGGGAAACUUACGCUAAUACCGCAUACGACCUACGGGUGAAAGCAGGGGAUCUUCGGACCUUGCGCGAUUGAAUGAGCCGAUGUCGGAUUAGCUGGUUGGCGGGGUAAAGGCCCACCAAGGCGACGAUCCGUAGCUGGUCUGAGAGGAUGGUCAGCCACACUGGAACUGAGACACGGUCCAGACUCCUACGGGAGGCAGCAGUGGGGAAUAUUGGACAAUGGGCGCAAGCCUGAUCCAGCCAUACCGCGUGGGUGAAGAAGGCCUUCGGGUUGUAAAGCCCUUUUGUUGGGAAAGAAAAGCAGCAGGUUAAUACCCCGCUGUUCUGACGGUACCCAAAGAAUAAGCACCGGCUAACUUCGUG
Molecule: ribosomal RNA, 492 nt
Filed under: uncultured bacterium
Lineage: Bacteria
Description: partial 16S ribosomal RNA
Rfam family: Bacterial small subunit ribosomal RNA
Source: RNAcentral